This 89-nucleotide non-coding RNA is filed under the name Paenibacillus pectinilyticus. Its description in RNAcentral is "c-di-GMP sequence". It matches the Rfam family "c-di-GMP-I riboswitch aptamer". From Rfam's summary of the family: GEMM was predicted in a large-scale screen for bacterial structured RNA regulatory elements. The record is from Rfam by way of RNAcentral. Lineage: Bacteria; Bacillati; Bacillota; Bacilli; Caryophanales; Paenibacillaceae.
GUAGGAUAAUGGCAAAAUUGAUGAAAAUCAAUGACGCAAAGCUAUAGGGACUAAGUUAGAGUAAUCUAAUAGGUUAGCCAGUUGCCGGU